Syngnathus acus (greater pipefish) is the source of this 435-nucleotide long non-coding RNA. RefSeq lists it as uncharacterized. Lineage: Eukaryota; Metazoa; Chordata; Actinopteri; Syngnathiformes; Syngnathidae. The record is from RefSeq and is a predicted model, not a curated record. The transcript has 4 exons.
GAAAAAGUCAUCCGCAUACGGUCGGCUUUCUAUGGACGGAAGGAUAGCGACGUCUGUCCCAGUGGCGGCGGAUCACGCGAUGACUGCAGGGUGGAAGGGGCUCUCUCUCACUUCAGAGGAUUGUGUGACAACUAUCAGAUUUGCUCCAUUUACCCUUGGGAUACGGACUCCUGCCCUGGUAUCUCCAAAUACCUCCACGUCGUCUACAGCUGUGAGAAGAAAGUGUGUCUUGACGGUCUGGGCAUCGCUGACGGGAGAAUCCCAGACUCUUCCUUUACAGCCUCUUCCUCUGAGAUCAAUGCCGAACCUCACAAAGCGCGUCUGGGGGGCAGCGGUUGCUGGAAACCGUCCAAAAUCCUCGGCAGCUGGAUCCAGGUGAACCUCGGUCAGAACUUCAAGGUGACAGGCAUUGAGACCCAGAAGUGUACAUACCAA